Long non-coding RNA from Oreochromis aureus, 591 nucleotides. NCBI's taxonomy places the organism in Eukaryota, Metazoa, Chordata, Actinopteri, Cichliformes, Cichlidae. The record is from Ensembl.
GUGUGGUGCCUGUUAUCGGACCCGGAGUUAGCAACAUCCCCAAAACCCGAAGAGUAGAGUCCUGGCCCCUAGCCCUGUCAGCGUAGCAGAAAUGAUGAGGAUGAUGAUGGCAGCAGCAGCCGUUCUCCUCUGCCACUUUGCACAUAAUACUAUAAAUAUAAGGAGGAAGCCUGAGGCCCUGCAGCAGACUCACAGACGGAUGCAGAGGGGAGGAGUGUGGAGGUGUGUGCUGUGUGUUUGGAGGAGGGACUCCUUCAGUUAGAGAAGUGAGGCGUCACAAGUUCCUGGUUUCCAGUGAAGAAGAAGAGAGGCAGCAGUAAACCAUCAGAGCCUCAUCAUGAAAGUCCAUCACACUCUGAUCUGCUUCUUCUUCCUUUGAACAUGGAAGAUGUUCUGCAGAGAACAAUGUGAAGGAGAAAACAUUCUCAUUAAAACAACUGAUGUCAGAGCUCAAACAGGCAGAUACAGCAUUGAAUAUGAAAACAAUGUUUUAUCUGUGAGCAUCUCAAAGCUGACUGAGUCUGACUCUGGACAGUACAGCUGUGGUUUGGGUGGAUCUUCAUCAUCAGCUCCAUUCACACCGCUUGUGAU